AGCAGCCGCGGUAAUUCCAGCUCCAAUAGCGUAUAUUAAAGUUGUUGCAGUUAAAAAGCUCGUAGUUGAAUUUCGGGGUUAGUAGGUUGGUCAUGCCUCUGGUAUGUACUGGUCUCACUGAUUCCUCCUUCCUGAUGAACCUUAAUGCCAUUAAUUUGGUGUUUUGGGGAAUUUGGACUGUUACUUUGAAAAAAUUAGAGUGUUUAAAGCAAGCUAACGCUUGAAUACAUUAGCAUGGAAUAAUGAAAUAGGACGUUCGAUCCUAUUUUGUUGGUUUCUAGGAUUGACGUAAUGAUUAAUAGGGAUAGUUGGGGGCAUUAGUAUUCAAUUGUCAGAGGUGAAAUUCUUGGAUUUAUUGAAGACUAACUACUGCGAAAGCAUUCGCCAAGGAUGUUUUCAUUAAUCAAGAACGAAAGUUAGGGGAUCGAAGACGAUCAGAUACCGUCGUAGUCUUAACCAUAAACUAUGCCGACUA
This 475-nucleotide ribosomal RNA is filed under the name uncultured Glomus. RNAcentral's name for it is "SSU rRNA". It matches the Rfam family "Eukaryotic small subunit ribosomal RNA", at positions 569 to 1048 of the family's 1831-position model. Lineage: Eukaryota; Fungi; Glomeromycota; Glomeromycetes; Glomerales; Glomeraceae. The record is from RNAcentral.